This 73-nucleotide transfer RNA is filed under the name Humibacillus sp. DSM 29435. It matches the Rfam family "tRNA". From Rfam's summary of the family: Transfer RNA (tRNA) molecules are approximately 80 nucleotides in length. Their secondary structure includes four short double-helical elements and three loops (D, anti-codon, and T loops). Further hydrogen bonds mediate the characteristic L-shaped molecular structure. tRNAs have two regions of fundamental functional importance: the anti-codon, which is responsible for specific mRNA codon recognition, and the 3' end, to which the tRNAs corresponding amino acid is attached (by aminoacyl-tRNA synthetases). tRNAs cope with the degeneracy of the genetic code in two manners: having more than one tRNA (with a specific anti-codon) for a particular amino acid; and 'wobble' base-pairing, i.e. permitting non-standard base-pairing at the 3rd anti-codon position. Lineage: Bacteria; Bacillati; Actinomycetota; Actinomycetes; Micrococcales; Intrasporangiaceae. The record is from Rfam by way of RNAcentral. RNAcentral also lists the same sequence under 9 other names.
AGGGCAAUAGCUCAAUUGGUAGAGCACUGGUCUCCAAAACCAGCGGUUGUGGGUUCGAGUCCCUCUUGCCCUG